ACCUCAGCCAUCCAUUGCGGUAAUUUUUUCGUCACCAGCUUUCUGCAAAUGAAUGCAUGACAAUUGGGCCCAACCAGGUGUGGAGCCGACAGGAAGAGACAGCCAGAACAGCUCGUUCGCGUGAACUUCCCAAGCGCGCGAGGGGAAGGGGUGAAAACCUAGAUCGGUCAGCACUCCCCAAUCGCAUGCCUCCUCUGCUCCUCGUCCAAUCCCCAACUCCUCCUCUCCUCCCCAAUCGCCGCCACCCCUCCUCCUUCCCCAAUCUGCGCUGUUUUCUCCCGCUCUCUAGCGGGAGCAGCGCACGACGGAGGCGGCUGCACGCGGCAGCGGCGGGGCGGCGAUGGCUGGACGCGGCAGCGGUCGUGGCAGGGGCGGCCGGGUGCUUAAGAGGAGGGAGCACGGCCCAUGAGGUGAAGCAUGGCCAGGAGGUAGCCGCCGCCGCCGCCUCGUGCCUCACAUCAGGAGGACCUCACAUAAGGAGGCAGCGCGGGUGCGGGCGCCGCCGUUGCAUAGAGCGCCAGGAGGACACGGUCGCCACCACUCACGGACGUCGACGUGCCAAGAGUGACAGGCCGUGGCCACCAAGUUCUUCUUCCUCUCCUGGCAUCCACAGGCAUCCCUGAGCCAGCCUGAUCGCCAUCAACCUCUCGAGAAUGGUUUUGUGAUCUUUGGCAUUAAUUAAAGAAAAUGCUAAAGCGUAUAGAAGAGUGGUACCUGUAAUCAUGGGAUGUUGUUGUUUAAGCUUGCUAGAAUGUUCAUGGCCCUGGGUUGAGAAGCAGCGCUCGUCACGGCGAGCAGGCUGAUUUCAAGACGCCAAGUUAGGGCCCAGGGUCGCGCAGCCUCCGCCUGGCGCUGAGCUCCGUCCAUGGAGCCGCUCGCCACAUUGUCGUCUUGUUGGUUGUCCGUCCUACCUCUCCGGUGGCCCGUUUCGAUUUCAUGUAGGGUGAUGCCGCAUACCUUCAGCUGCUCGCAAGUUCUCAAAUGUAAACUUGAGGGCUGGAAUGGGGAGAAGCGGGAGGAGGUCUGGCAUGACAGCAUGUAGAUGGGUGACACAUUUUGGUGCAAAUCGGACUUAUGGACAAAUUUAACUACAGCAACCGGCAAAUGAUGCAGCAUGAGGGUGAUUGUCUUCUUAGCGUAAGUAUUUUAUCAUAUCUCUAUCAAUGAUCUCCUCACAUACAAAUCAUACAGUAUACUGUUCUAUACUUUUUCCUACAGAAGUCAGACUAUUUGUUCUUCUUGGCAUAUACAUUUUGACUACAUGAACUGAGUUUCUGAUACAGUUGCCAUUUAGGUUGAACAAUUCAUACUUUGUUGCUCAAUUUGGGCUUGAUAUUAUGUAGGUCUUAAAUUAUUUCUUAGUAUGUAUGUUUUUGCUUGAAUAUUUAUCUGCGUUGUACAUUGCUUUUGAAGGCAAACUGAUGAUAUGUUGUUAAUUAUUAAAGCACCCAAAGUUCUAAUGUACCACGAGAUUUUGCAAGUUAGUAAUAUUGCAUUUCUAUGACAUUUUAACAAACAAAUUUUCAUCUGUAUAUUGGAUCUAUCUUGCUAUAAAUUGUUGUUAUUUCUUAACACAAUCUGUUCAGAUCUGAGGAAGAGAAGGAAGGCCCCAAGUUAAUUUAUAGAGAAUCAAAAAGGAAGAAGGCACAGGAAUAAGAGAACAAGGCGACUCUGGGUCGGCUCUCGUGGUGGCGCUGGGUGAAGGAGAUAAUGGGGCUGUUGUUGGGUGGAGGAGGGGGCUUGGGGUGUUGCCUAGAGCGCAGAUGAUGGGUUGCAGUAGUGCAAGCCAUGCCUUGUAAUAAUGAGCAAUCACCGUGUAGUCAAUUUUACAGGCGACGACAACAAGGUGAAUGAACAGUUUAUUGUUGACCGGAGGCUGCAAUCAAUGAGAAUAGAAUACUAUGUUUCAUUCAGGUUAUAGGUUGAGGCCACGGAAAGCAAGCACACCAGAAAACGUCCCAAGCCAUUUGGUUAAAUGUGCAGGAUACAGGAUCAGGUUAUGAUGGAUUCUGCAGCUUAUGUUUAUGUUAGCAAAAUGGGCAACAUCCAACGCUUCUUGCUAGCCGGUGAUUAUCUCAAACUUACAUGAUAAUAUGUUGAGGUUGAGGAAUCAAUACAUGGGCAAGAAAAAUUAUGAAGGGUAAUUAUUCUGAUUGAAGUAGAUUUCUGUGCAAAUGGUGAAUGCCCAAUUGAUAUUACGUGUACUUGAAAGUCAUAAGGAUUACAGUGGUGAAGGAGUUGACACCAUCGAAUGCGUCUGUUACUAUCCCAGCCAUGCAUAUUGCAAGCCUGGUGUUACCUUCUUGACGAAGUGCAGAAAAGCAAAACAAAAACAAUGUUAAAUAGCUAUUUGGAAUGCAAGGUAGCAGGCUAGAGAUUGUCGUGGGUUUGCCUGAAGGAUUAUCUGGUAAUGUCGACGAGAGGCUCCAAGAGACGAGGACGAACCUUCCUAAGGGAUUUACAGUUGACGACGGGGGCAAUAUUGUGGAUGCUAUGAACAUGGCGAUAGGAAAGAUCAGUGAUACAGCUUUGACAUGGAUUUGAGCAAAGAGAUGUGUCACAUGAAGGUGAUUCGGAGGAGGUACACUAGCAGCUACAGCUGGUUCCAACCCCUCCCCUGAUGUGGUGCUAUGGGAGCAAGAAAAAGAGCAGACUCAAGAGUUACCUAUAGUUGCUAAUUUCUAAAAUAAUCAGGCACAAUUGAGCAACCUAUGGACAGUCUUCAGUGUUAGAUAAGUCACUCGAUCUUCAAAAUUGGUGGCUUGAUGUAGGUUCUAUUUCCCAAUUUGAAUAAAUAAUCAUGGUGGUUCAAUGAUCUCAGAAAGCCACUGUAUAUCAUGUACUUAUCAGUUGCCCACCUUGACUCUCAUCUAUCUUCAAGAGAAUGACAUGGAUGAUCUAGAAGAUAUGCACCCUCAAGGAGAAUAGUAGGAUCAUUUAUUCUUGCCCCCUCCAAAUUUGUUGGUCAACAUAGAAACAGUAGUGGCUUUCUUCCCCAAAGAUCUGUAGCUCGUGGAAGCGGAAGAUGUGGCACAAGGAGCAGAUGAAAGAGAAAUAGGAAGAUGCCUGGUGCCUCCAAACAUUCUUGUUGCCUGACGGUGAGAACCGAGUUACAAACAAGCAUUGAUGUGAUAAGAAGCCUACUCCUACAGUGACGCGUUGAAGUGUGUCUUUAUUUGAUUUGUGAAACAAGCAGCGUAGUACUGGGUUAUAUUGAAUGCAACUAUCUAAUUCUUUUGAAGUUGGUGAAGGAACAUAAAGCUUCAUUAAAUCCAUUAAAGGUUGUCAGGUAUCUUCUACCUGUGCAAUGCAACAUAGUUUUUGGAAAUGGAGAUUCCCAGGUAAUAUUUCCUUUGCUCCUAGAAAUGGUGUUUAUGUAUUUUCUCUUUGCAAGAAGAUAUUGAAGCCCUAGAGGAGUGCAGCUUGCACGACUAAAUAAGGUUAAUAACCAGUUACUUAAGUUCCUGCUGCUUUGUUUCUUUGACUAAUAAACUUCCUCGCCAAUGUUUAUUCCAUUCAAAUGCAAGACACGUUUAAGACAUCUCACUUAAAAGGAAAAAUAACCAACAUUAAGUGUUCCAUCCUCUCUUGAUAGAGCAUUGAUGGUCAACAUAUCGUUUAAGGAAGAUGCAUAGGACUUGAUGCAAGUCUUAAUUCUAUUCUUGCACACUGCUUUCUACAAGCUGCUUUAGACCUCUUUUGAACUCCAACAAUAAUUGUUGAAUGAUUCAUAUGAAUGAUGUAGAUUAAAUUAUGUGCACCUCGUGGUACAACUCUUGAAGUCCCAAAUUCCUGAUGAGGCGGGCAGUAAUGCAGAUAUGUAUGCUACCUUCAGUAUUUCAGCUUGGUAUUGAUUUUUUGUUAGUGAAGAGUUCUUCCUUCCCCAUAGCUCUGAGUUAUUUUCACCUGCAGUUUAUCAUUCAGUUACAUGAUUAAUGAAAGCUCAGUUCUUGAUGCUCACUUUGUGGGACUUAAAAAGAUAGCAUGAUGGUAUGAAUCUAUAUUUGCAUUAUGUUCUCAAAACAAUAGCAUGAUAGUUACACUUAUACGAUAGUAUCGUUGUUAGGGUCUUGAAGAUAUUUACUUCUCUGUGGAUUCGUUUUUUCCCUCAUUUUAGCAGAGGUCAUAGCGACGAACCAGCGGCGACGGCUUAGGAGAAGAGAAGAGGAGCACACCAAAGAAGAGGGAGCAUGUAGUCCACAACCAACAAUCAUUGCAGACCCCUAACGGCAAUGCUAUGAUGCUGGAUUGAUGGGUGGGUCUAAGGGGUCGGAAGAGGAAGAGGAGUAUGUAGGAGAGGCGGAAGGAACCAUCAAAUAGAGGGCAGAAGGAGUAGCCAACGAAAGGCAAAGGGGCUGUCGAGGACAUUUUCUCCAAUGCACGCAGUCGGAUGAUGAUGGAGCUAAAUCUUAUGGUUUAAAUUAUUACUUGAUUCUUCCAUUUGCGCGAUAGCGCAACAGGUCAU
This is a non-coding RNA of Lolium perenne, 4465 nucleotides long. Lineage: Eukaryota; Viridiplantae; Streptophyta; Magnoliopsida; Poales; Poaceae. The record is from RefSeq and is a predicted model, not a curated record.